UACGAAGGGGGCUAGCGUUGCUCGGAAUCACUGGGCGUAAAGGGUGCGUAGGCGGGUCUUUAAGUCAGGGGUGAAAUCCUGGAGCUCAACUCCAGAACUGCCUUUGAUACUGAGGAUCUUGAGUCCGGGAGAGGUGAGUGGAACUGCGAGUGUAGAGGUGAAAUUCGUAGAUAUUCGCAAGAACGCCAGUGGCGAAGGCGGCUCACUGGCCCGGUACUGACGCUGAGGCACGAAAGCGUGGGGAGCAAACAGG
This 253-nucleotide ribosomal RNA is filed under the name uncultured bacterium. Its description in RNAcentral is "partial 16S ribosomal RNA". It matches the Rfam family "Bacterial small subunit ribosomal RNA", at positions 524 to 776 of the family's 1533-position model. The record is from RNAcentral.